RNAcentral lists this ribosomal RNA (248 nucleotides) under uncultured Muribaculaceae bacterium. RNAcentral describes it as "partial 16S ribosomal RNA". It matches the Rfam family "Bacterial small subunit ribosomal RNA", at positions 524 to 772 of the family's 1533-position model. The record is from RNAcentral. Lineage: Bacteria; Pseudomonadati; Bacteroidota; Bacteroidia; Bacteroidales; Muribaculaceae.
UACGUAGGGGGCGAGCGUUAUCCGGAUUUAUUGGGUUUAAAGGGUGCGUAGGCGGGCUGCCAAGUCAGCGGUAAAAUUGCGGGGCUCAACCCCGUCGAGCCGUUGAAACUGGUGGCCUUGAGUGGGCGAGAAGUACGCGGAAUGUGUGGUGUAGCGGUGAAAUGCAUAGAUAUCACGCAGAACUCCGAUUGCGAAGGCAGCGUACCGGCGCCCUACUGACGCUGAGGCACGAAAGUGCGGGUAUCGAA